GAUGAACGCUGGCGGCGUGCCUAAUACAUGCGAGUCGAGCGAACAGACGAGGAGCUUGCUCCUCCGACGUUAGCGGCGGACGGGUGAGUAACACGUGGAUAACCUACCUAUAAUACUGGGAUAACUUCGGGAAACCGGAGCUAAUACCGGAUAAUAUAUUGAACCGCAUGGUUCAAUAGUGAAAGACGGUUUUGCUGUCACUUAUAGAUGGAUCCGCGCCGCAUUAGCUAGUUGGUAAGGUAACGGCUUACCAAGGCAACGAUGCGUAGCCGACCUGAGAGGGUGAUCAGCCACACUGGAACUGAGACACGGUCCAGACUCCUACGGGAGGCAGCAGUAGGGAAUCUUCCGCAAUGGGCGAAAGCCUGACGGAGCAACGCCGCGUGAGUGAUGAAGGUCUUCGGAUCGUAAAACUCUGUUAUUAGGGAAGAACAAAUGUGUAAGUAACUAUGCACGUCUUGACGGUACCUAAUCAGAAAGCCACGGCUAACUACGUG
This 497-nucleotide ribosomal RNA is filed under the name uncultured bacterium. Its description in RNAcentral is "partial 16S ribosomal RNA". It matches the Rfam family "Bacterial small subunit ribosomal RNA", at positions 28 to 507 of the family's 1533-position model. The record is from RNAcentral.